Non-coding RNA from Triticum aestivum (bread wheat), 124 nucleotides. Lineage: Eukaryota; Viridiplantae; Streptophyta; Magnoliopsida; Poales; Poaceae. The record is from Rfam.
AAAGUACUCCCUCCGUCCCAAAAUUCUUGUCUUAGUUUUUUCUAGAUACGGAUGUAUCAAGUUAUAGAUACAUCCGUAUCUAGACAAAUCUAAGACAAAAAAUUUGGGACAGAGGGAGUAGUUG